UUCUUUUCUUCUCGCAUCCUUUGAGGUUUCAUUUUCUUGCUUUAUCAAACCAUGGGGGUGACCACCAUCAACAACGAAUUCAAUUGCCCAAUCCCACCUGCUAGGAUUUUCAAGGCUGCAGUCCUUGAUGCCCACAACUUACUUCCCAAGAUCCUUCCUGACAAGAUUAAAAGCAUUCAAAUUCAUGGUGAUGGUGGGGCUGGAUCCAUCAAACAGAUCAACUUGGCUGAUGAUGGCCCUUUUGACUUCAUCAAGCAUCGGAUUGAAGAAGUUGACGAACAUAAUUUUAAGUGCAAAUUUACUCUGAUCGAAGGUGCUGUUAUAGGGGAAAAGAUUGAAAAGGUUGUUGAUACUGUUCAGUUCGUGGCCUCUGCAGACGGGGGAUCCAUCUGUAAGACUACUUCUGAGUUUUACACUAUUGGUGACUAUAAGAUGGGUGAAGAUGAAAUCCAGAUGGGUAAGGAUAUGGCCACUGGGACGUUCAAGAUGGUGGUAGAAUACCUCUGCAAGAACCCAGAUGCCUAUGCUUAAAGAGUCUCUUUUAGUUACUCUAUGGCAUCAAUAGAGCUGUUAUGGCUCACUAUCAAGAAGUCAUCCAUUGUGUUUGUGCUUUUGUUUCUUGUUUUGUUUUUGUUUAAUAAAAGGA
RNA transcript from Telopea speciosissima, 646 nucleotides. It is a transcript of the gene named major allergen Pru ar 1-like, with no coding region annotated. The record is from RefSeq and is a predicted model, not a curated record. The transcript is spliced from 4 exons. NCBI's taxonomy places the organism in Eukaryota, Viridiplantae, Streptophyta, Magnoliopsida, Proteales, Proteaceae.